CUUGGUGAUUAGCUUUCGAUGUGUGCAUUCCUGAGGGAAUGAAACAGAUCUGGAAAGGAGUGCUCCUGCCCAGGGAACUGCCGCUCCUGGUUGCCAUGGAAAUAGCCGCCAACGACACUUCCGGAAAUCAGUGCUAAGAUUGGAAACGGUCCCUCUUAAUUGCGGUGGCAACUUAGUAACAGACUCUUAGUACUUCCCCUCUCCCCACCCCUUUCCUUCUUCCAGUGUAGGGGUGAGCUCUCUAGAGCCUGAGGAAGAAGUCACUGGAUUGUACCACACGGGGUUGGGGGGGAGGAGAAUCUAUCCACAUACCUCAGGCUUCACACGCAUGACCUUUUCUUCCCUUCUUCAAAGGACACUAACCCUAUGAUAAAGCCCUUAUCCUGCGUGCCACUUCUCAAAGGCUCCAUCCCUGAACACCCCCACACCAGGCCUAUGAAUAUAGAAGGUACAGAAAUAAUUUAGUUCAUGGCAUUUAGAAAAGACUUUUCAGUCAGGUUCAUCAUCGUAAGCUAAGAUAUUAUUAGUCUGAUUUUGGGAGUGGGGGUUGUUUUGGUUUGGUUUGGUUUUCCGUUUGUUUCUGGAAAGGAAGAGACAAGCUGUAUGGCAUGCUCUGCCCGUUGGAUACUGUAACCGCACAUGGGAGAGAUUCUCCAGACGGCCCAGUCAGAGCUUUCCACGAUAGUGAUAAAGCUUGCCAACCAGCAUGGAUUUCUCAUCCAUUGCAGGGAUAUGUGCCCACAGCAGAUAUGGGACCAAGAACCACCCCAGCAGCCAGAACCCAAUACCAUUUCCUAUCUUUGUAAUCCGAUCCACCCCUCCUCACUCUUAGGAGCAGCAAGCUUGACUACAGAGCUGUCCUUUCCAGCCACCAUUCAUUGCUGCUAGAGUUUGCAUGUUGUAUGCCCUCCUCCAAUCCUGUGUGUUAAUGACGUGGUUGUCAAUGGGUACUACUGGGGUUGGUGAGGCCCCUGAGAAGCAAGAAGGUCCAUUGAGGGUGUGCCAUUAAAGAAGACUGGUACCUAGA
Molecule: non-coding RNA, 1027 nt
Organism: Rattus norvegicus (Norway rat)
Lineage: Eukaryota; Metazoa; Chordata; Mammalia; Rodentia; Muridae
Source: RefSeq, a predicted model, not a curated record